RNAcentral lists this ribosomal RNA (253 nucleotides) under uncultured bacterium. RNAcentral's name for it is "partial 16S ribosomal RNA". It matches the Rfam family "Bacterial small subunit ribosomal RNA", at positions 524 to 776 of the family's 1533-position model. The record is from RNAcentral.
UACGAAGGGGGCUAGCGUUGCUCGGAAUCACUGGGCGUAAAGGGUGCGUAGGCGGGUCUUUAAGGCCGGGGUGAAAUCCUGGAGCUCAACUCCAGAACUGCCUUUGAUACUGAAGAUCUUGAGUUCGGGAGAGGUGAGUGGAACUGCGAGUGUAGAGGUGAAAUUCGUAGAUAUUCGCAAGAACACCAGUGGCGAAGGCGGCUCACUGGCCCGAUACUGACGCUGAGGCACGAAAGCGUGGGGAGCAAACAGG